Molecule: small RNA, 204 nt
Filed under: Panthera pardus (leopard)
Lineage: Eukaryota; Metazoa; Chordata; Mammalia; Carnivora; Felidae
Description: Six3os1 conserved region 6 (ENSPPRG00000014838.1)
Source: RNAcentral
AGGUGGACAUCGUGCUUCGGGCCAGAGGGGAGAGGCGCUGGCGGCAGCGGGGCCGCGAGGCUGGCUCCCUGGGCGGCGCGGAGCUCGCUUCUGCGGGGAGUCUGACAGCCCGGGGCUGGCCGCCGGCCCCGCCGCGCCGGCUCUGUCCCGGCGCACAAAGCUGCGCGCCUCGCAGCCGCCCUCCGCCAGGCUUUGCACUCCCGA